This 142-nucleotide unclassified non-coding RNA is filed under the name Ascomycota sp. RNAcentral's name for it is "partial contains small subunit ribosomal RNA, internal transcribed spacer 1, and 5.8S ribosomal RNA". The stretch from base 1 to 47 matches the Rfam family "Eukaryotic small subunit ribosomal RNA", at positions 1785 to 1831 of the family's 1831-position model. Lineage: Eukaryota; Fungi; Ascomycota. The record is from RNAcentral.
AAAGUCGUAACAAGGUUUCCGUAGGUGAACCUGCGGAAGGAUCAUUAAGAGAGGAUUUAAAAACACACCGUGAACAAAACACAGUAAUUAUAUCUCUGUAGGUUGAUAAAAACAACUUUUAGCAACGGAUCUCUAGGUUCUC